RNAcentral lists this long non-coding RNA (2443 nucleotides) under Homo sapiens (human). RNAcentral's name for it is "long intergenic non-protein coding RNA 1106". Lineage: Eukaryota; Metazoa; Chordata; Mammalia; Primates; Hominidae. The record is from RNAcentral.
GCUUCAUGAAUGCACACAGUCACGUCGCAGAAGUGCCCACCCAGCUUCUGCCCAUUGAGGGUCUCAAGCAGAGAGCGUGAGAAGUUCUGCAGAUGUAUGUGGCGCACAGCCUCUACAGCCGCCGACUCCGACUCCUCUUCAGGCACCAGGCCUGGCCGUGGCCGCCUUCUCACCGACUCCAAGGCAGCACUUCCGGGCGCUUCUCUUUAUUUUUAUACAGUUUUAUUGAGAUAUAAUUUACAUGCUAUCCAGCCCAUCUAUUUCAAGUGUACCAUGCAAGGGGUUUGUAUAUAUUCACAGAGUUGUGUAUCCAUCACCAUCGUUUUAGAACAUUCAUCACUCCAGAAGAAACUACUACCCAUCAGCAGCCACUGCCCAUUUCCCUGAUCUGCCCCGCCCUAGGAAAUCCGUAAUCACUUUCAGUCUAUGGAUUUGCCUAUUCUAGACCAUUCAUAUAAAUGAAGUCACACAACACUGGGUCUUAUGUGACUGGCUUCUAUCAAAGUUUGCAAGGUUCAUUUAUGUUCAUGGGCUGACCCCACAUUGGACACCGCUGCAUCCAUGUCCAUCACACAACACAGCUGCCGUUUCUUCUGCCUGCUUAUGGGAAAGUCCCCUCUUCUCCUCCGUUUUCUUCUCUUCCUGCCCUAUCACACCGUGCACUUCUCCCUUUCCUUAAAGAACCACCAUCAACUUUAGGAGGAGGGAAAGGGGUGGCUCUGGCAGGAAAAGCCAGAAUCCCCUCUAGCCAGCAGAGAGAGAGAGGAAUGGCUGCAUGUUUUCUCCCCCAGUCCAAGGCACUGGGUCUUGGCUGGGUUGAAGGUUCCAAGCUGCUCUCCUGCUGUGUCGGUGAGUUCUGGUCAACCUGCAACCUCCUGAUAUGGCCAUUGCAGUUCAUCGAGUCUUCAGGGACUCCCCAUGGCCUGGAGUACUUUGCCUUGCUUACACGGGAGAGGAGAAUGGAUUUAUAGAGAACAUCAUCUAAAUCCAACUUGACCAUUGUGUGGCCACACUUGCUAGAUUGCUAUAGUCUAAAUCUAGCAUUGUAGAAAGACGGGGGAGCUUGGAGCUGCACAAACCCAGGUCUGGAACUGGCUCCUUACCUUGGAAGGUGAAUGAUCCUGCCAGGACUCUUAGCCUCCCUGGGUCUCAAUUUCUUUAUCUGUUUCAUGGGAAUGAGGAUCUCUGCUGGGUGGUUGGGUGAUGUGGGGGCUGUGUGAAAACAGCUUGUCAAUACAAGCCAAAAUAGAAAUAUUUCUCCACAGAGUAUGAAGGUCAAAUGAGAGAAUACAUUUAAAUUAAAUGGAAAAUUAAAAUGGUAAAAAAUGCAAAGCUGUAUUGAAAGUUCCGAGCUUCUCUAUAAGGAGCUUUUUGACUAUGUAAGAAUCCUGUACUCGUUCCCCCUAAAUAUAAAAAAAAGUUGAAGGAGGCAGAAGGGAGAGUGAUGCACGAUGGGCAAGGACUUCACCUGCUGUUGCUGGCUUUGAGGAUGGAGGAAGGAGGCCACAAACCUAGAAGCUGGAGCCCCUAGAAGCUAGAAAAGGCAGGGACCCGAUUCUUUCCUUGAGCCUCCAGAAGGGACACAGCCCCGCCAGCACCUUGACUUUAGCCUGGUGAGAUCCUCUUAGGACUUUUGGCAAUCAGAACUAUAAGACAGAAAUGGAAGCCACUGAGUCUGUAGCUGUUUGUUGCAGCAGCAAUAGAAAACUAAUGCAGGGCCCAAGAAAUCACUGGUGAUGAGAUCGGGAAAGUGGGCUCAGGAGGUCUGGAUCUGUGAUGAGAUGGGGAAAGUGGGCUCAAGAGGUCUGGAUCUGUGGUGAGAUGGGGGAAGUGGGCUCAGGAGGUCUGGAUCUGUGAUGAGAUGGGGAAAGUGGGCUCAGGAGGUCUGGAUCUGUGAUGAGAUGGGGAAAGUGGGCUCAGGAGGUCUGGAUCUGUGAUGAGAUGGGGGAAGUGGGCUCAGGAGGUCUGGAUCUGUGAUGAGAUGGGGGAAGUGGGCUCAGGAGGUCUGGAUCUGUGAUGAGAUGGGGGAAGUGGGCUCAGGAGGUCUGGAUCUGUGAUGAGAUGGGGAAAGUGGGCUCAGGAGGUCUGGAUCUGUGAUGAGAUGGGGGAAGUGGGCUCAGGAGGUCUGGAUCUGUGAUGAGAUGGGGAAAGUGGGCUCAGGAGGUCUGGAUCUGUGAUGAGAUCGGGAAAGUGGGCUCAAGAGGUCUGGAUCUGUGGUGAGAUGGGGGAAGUGGGCUCAGGAGGUCUGGAUCUGUGAUGAGAUGGGGAAAGUGGGCUCAGGAGGUCUGGAUCUGUGAUGAGAUGGGGAAAGUGGGCUCAGGAGGUCUGGAUCUGGGGUGGGGAUCUGGAGUGGAAGGGGAAUUCAUUUGUUCAUUGUCUAUCCUUUUGUAUUGAUUGAAUUUUUUAUAUAUAUAUGUGAAUUUUCACAAUAAAAUUUUUUUCC